RNAcentral lists this ribosomal RNA (253 nucleotides) under uncultured bacterium. Its description in RNAcentral is "partial 16S ribosomal RNA". It matches the Rfam family "Bacterial small subunit ribosomal RNA", at positions 524 to 776 of the family's 1533-position model. The record is from RNAcentral.
UACAGAGGGGGCAAGCGUUGUUCGGAAUUACUGGGCGUAAAGGGCGCGUAGGCGGCCUUCUAAGUCGAACGUGAAAUCCCCGGGCUCAACCCGGGAACUGCGUCCGAUACUGGAAGGCUUGAAUCCGGGAGAGGGAUGCGGAAUUCCAGGUGUAGCGGUGAAAUGCGUAGAUAUCUGGAGGAACAUCGGUGGCGAAGGCGGCAUCCUGGACCGGUAUUGACGCUGAGGCGCGAAAGCGUGGGGAGCAAACAGG